GCAUACCAGAAGAAGCAGCACUAUAGAAACCCCAGCUUAAAAUAUCUCCAACUGUGAGGUUUCUGUAAGACAGAUUAAAAAAAAAAAAAAAAAAAAGAAAAGCCCC
Molecule: long non-coding RNA, 106 nt
Organism: Aquila chrysaetos chrysaetos
Lineage: Eukaryota; Metazoa; Chordata; Aves; Accipitriformes; Accipitridae
Exons: 3
Source: RefSeq, a predicted model, not a curated record